RNAcentral lists this ribosomal RNA (318 nucleotides) under uncultured soil bacterium. RNAcentral's name for it is "bacterial SSU rRNA". It matches the Rfam family "Bacterial small subunit ribosomal RNA", at positions 26 to 371 of the family's 1533-position model. The record is from RNAcentral.
AGAACGAACGCUGGCGGCAUGCCUAAUACAUGCAAGUCGAACGAACACUUCGGUGUUAGUGGCGCACGGGUGCGUAACGCGUGGGAAUCUGCCCUUGGGUUCGGAAUAACAGUUGGAAACGACUGCUAAUACCGGAUGAUAUCGAAAGAUCAAAGAUUUAUCGCCCAGGGAUGAGCCCGCGUAGGAUUAGCUAGUUGGUGAGGUAAAGGCUCACCAAGGCACGAUCCUUAGCUGGCCUGAGAGGAUGAUCCAGCCACACUGGGGACUGAGACACGGCCCAGACUCCUACGGGAGGCAGCAGUAGGGAAUAUUGGACAA